Molecule: ribosomal RNA, 427 nt
Filed under: uncultured bacterium
Lineage: Bacteria
Description: bacterial SSU rRNA
Rfam family: Bacterial small subunit ribosomal RNA
Source: RNAcentral
UGAGGAAUAUUGGACAAUGGGCGCAAGCCUGAUCCAGCCAUGCCGCGUGCAGGAUGAAGGCCUUCGGGUUGUAAACUGCUUUUGUACGGAACGAAACGGCUCUGGUUAAUACCUGGGGCUAAUGACGGUACCGUAAGAAUAAGCACCUGCUAACUACGUGCCAGCAGCCGCGGUAAUACGUAGGGUGCGAGCGUUAAUCGGAAUUACUGGGCGUAAAGCGUGCGCAGGCGGUGAUGUAAGACAGAUGUGAAAUCCCCGGGCUCAACCUGGGACCUGCAUUUGUGACUGCGUCGCUGGAGUGCGGCAGAGGGGGAUGGAAUUCCGCGUGUAGCAGUGAAAUGCGUAGAUAUGCGGAGGAACACCGAUGGCGAAGGCAAUCCCCUGGGCCUGCAAUGACGCUCAUGCACGAAAGCGUGGGGAGCAAACA